GACGAAAGUCUGACGGGAGCAACGCCGCGUGAGUGAAGAAGGUUUUCGGAUCGUAAAGCUCUGUCUUCAGGGACGAAUGUGCUUAAUGUGAAUAAUGUUAAGUAAUGACGGUACCUGAGGAGGAAGCCACGGCUAACUACGUGCCAGCAGCCGCGGUAAUACGUAGGUGGCAAGCGUUGUCCGGAAUUAUUGGGCGUAAAGCGCGCGCAGGCGGGAAUGUAAGUCUGUCUUAAAAGUUCGGGGCUCAACCCCGUGAUGGGAUGGAAACUACAUUUCUUGAGUGCAGGAGGGGAAAGUGGAAUUCCUAGUGUAGCGGUGAAAUGCGUAGAUAUUAGGAGGAACACCAGUGGCGAAGGCGACUUUCUGGACUGUGUCUGACGCUGAGGCGCGAAAGCCAGGGGAGUGAACGGGAUUAGAUACCCCGGUAAUCCUGGCCGUAAACGAUGGGUACUAGGUGUAGGAGGUAUCGACCCCUUCUGUGCCGGAGUUAACGCAAUAAGUACCCCGCCUGGGGAGU
RNAcentral lists this ribosomal RNA (517 nucleotides) under uncultured bacterium. RNAcentral describes it as "bacterial SSU rRNA". It matches the Rfam family "Bacterial small subunit ribosomal RNA", at positions 374 to 881 of the family's 1533-position model. The record is from RNAcentral.